GUGAGGCAUGUCAAACUAGAUUAAAGCAAGGAACCACCUAACAGUAGGAGCAGAUUCUUAAGCAUUGUGGAUGAUUUUUGCAUAAACCGAAGUGUUUACAUCAGUGUUGAGGUGGGAAAGAAGAUGUUGAACAUCUGGACGCAAAUUUUCUGCUGCUCUUCCAAAAAGAGCCAAAAUUUCUGAUCUGGGUUUACUAGAUGCCACCUCGUAAUGAAUAACAUGAUGCAGGAAGUCGAUAAGAUCACUUAUUUCCGUUGCUUCAAUAGGUGCUGACAGCUGUGAGUUCUUCCCAAACACAUCCACCAAAAUAUUCAAAAGCAGCGACACUGUCUUACUGAAAAGGGUAUGAGCGUUUACCAACCUCGGAAGCAAGGGACCCAUAAUGCGAAAUGAUAUUCUUAAUACUGCAACAGAUGUCACAGGCCUAAGGUGCUUAAUGAUAAGAUGAGUUCCCUCGAGCCAUUCUUGUGGGAGGUUACAGAAGAAAGCAUGUAGCAGUGCGACAAUAUUACCAAUGGCUGUUGAGGUAUUAUCCUGUGCAGCCCAGGUGGGAUCUAGUAGAGCAUAACUAACAGCCGAUUCUA
Molecule: unclassified non-coding RNA, 584 nt
Filed under: Hevea brasiliensis (rubber tree)
Lineage: Eukaryota; Viridiplantae; Streptophyta; Magnoliopsida; Malpighiales; Euphorbiaceae
Source: RNAcentral